Molecule: ribosomal RNA, 265 nt
Filed under: uncultured archaeon
Lineage: Archaea
Description: partial 16S ribosomal RNA
Rfam family: Archaeal small subunit ribosomal RNA
Source: RNAcentral
ACACGACUACAUUAGAUACCCGGGUAGUCCUAGCCGUAAACGAUACUCGCUAGGUGUCGGCCACGGUGCGACCGUUGUCGGUGCCGUAGGGAAGCCGUGAAGCGAGCCACCUGGGAAGUACGGCCGCAAGGCUGAAACUUAAAGGAAUUGGCGGGGGAGCACAACAACGGGUGGAGCCUGCGGUUUAAUUGGACUCAACGCCGGGAGGCUCACCGGAUAAGACAGCGGAAUGAUUGCCGGGCUGAAGACCCUGCAUGACCAGCUG